Molecule: unclassified non-coding RNA, 610 nt
Filed under: Hevea brasiliensis (rubber tree)
Lineage: Eukaryota; Viridiplantae; Streptophyta; Magnoliopsida; Malpighiales; Euphorbiaceae
Source: RNAcentral
AAAAGAGGAACAUAGUCCAGGGUUUAAGAAACGUCCCUGCAAGUGCACUAGAGUCUCAGAGACUUUGUAUCAUUUAUAUGUAAGAGAAAGAGGACGGUUUGAAAUGGAGUCCAUAUUCUUGAGGUAAAGGAACUUGACCCUAAAUGCUCUGGAGUCUAAAGUGUUAAAGAAGUUCAAUUCUAUGAAACACACACCAGUUUGGAAGCAGGAACGACCAGAAAGCAUAAGAGGAGAUGAUUAUAAAAUCUACAAAAUAUACCCAUUAGGCAUGACACAGAGGCAAGCUUUAUAUACCUUCAAGUUCAAUGGGGAUGUUGAUUUCCAGAAUCACUUGGAAAUCAACCCGUGUGCAAAGUUUGAAGUGAUAUUUGUGUAGGAUUGCUAGUGUUCAGCACCAACCACUUCGGUAACUGUAAUAUUUGCAGAGAAGUCGAGAUUGAGGUGAAGGUGAUUCUGUGAGAAUAGUGGCAUUCAUCUUCUGCCUUUGUCCUCAUUGUAUCCAAUGUUUUACAUGGGCUAUGAAAUGUAAUAGAUGGAGGCGUUUGUUGAGAGUAUUUAUGGGGGUGAGGUCCUUGUGCAUCAUGAUCAUUUGAUCUUUGACAGAAGUCGC